AUUGAACGCUGGCGGAAUGCUUUACACAUGCAAGUCGAGCGGCAGCGCGGGGCAACCUGGCGGCGAGCGGCGAACGGGUGAGUAAUACAUCGGAACGUGCCCAGACGUGGGGGAUAACUACUCGAAAGAGUAGCUAAUACCGCAUAUGAUCUAAGGAUGAAAGCGGGGGAUCGCAAGACCUCGCGCGUUUGGAGCGGCCGAUGGCAGAUUAGGUAGUUGGUGGGGUAAAGGCUUACCAAGCCCGCGAUCUGUAGCUGGUCUGAGAGGACGACCAGCCAGCAGGGGACUGAGACACGGCCCAGACUCCUACGGGAGGCAGCAGUGGGGAAUUUUGGACAAUGGGCGAAAGGCUGAUCCAGCCAUUCCGCGUGCAGGAUGAAGGCCCUCGGGUUGUAAACUGCUUUUGUACGGAACGAAAAGCCCUGGGUUAAUACCCUGGGGUCAUGACGGUACCGUAAGAAUAAGCACCGGCUAACUACGUGCCAGCCGCCGCCGUAA
RNAcentral lists this ribosomal RNA (498 nucleotides) under uncultured bacterium. Its description in RNAcentral is "partial 16S ribosomal RNA". It matches the Rfam family "Bacterial small subunit ribosomal RNA", at positions 29 to 523 of the family's 1533-position model. The record is from RNAcentral.